This 203-nucleotide ribosomal RNA is filed under the name uncultured bacterium. RNAcentral describes it as "partial 16S ribosomal RNA". It matches the Rfam family "Bacterial small subunit ribosomal RNA", at positions 1299 to 1500 of the family's 1533-position model. The record is from RNAcentral.
UGUAGUCUGCAACUCGACUACAUGAAGCUGGAAUCGCUAGUAAUCGCGAAUCAGAAUGUCGCGGUGAAUACGUUCCCGGGUCUUGUACACACCGCCCGUCACACCAUGGGAGUCAGUAACGCCCGAAGUCAGUGACCCAACCAAUCAGGAGGGAGCUGCCGAAGGUGGGACCGAUAACUGGGGUGAAGUCGUAACAAGGUACC